UACGGAGGGUGCGAGCGUUAAUCGGAAUUACUGGGCGUAAAGCGCACGUAGGCGGUCAUUUAAGUCGGACGUGAAAUCCCCGGGCUCAACCUGGGAACUGCGUUCGAUACUGGAUGGCUAGAGUACGGUAGAGGGGGGUGGAAUUCCAGGUGUAGCGGUGAAAUGCGUAGAUAUCUGGAGGAACAUCAGUGGCGAAGGCGACCCCCUGGACUGACACUGACGCUGAGGUGCGAAAGCGUGGGGAGCAAACAGG
This 253-nucleotide ribosomal RNA is filed under the name uncultured bacterium. Its description in RNAcentral is "partial 16S ribosomal RNA". It matches the Rfam family "Bacterial small subunit ribosomal RNA", at positions 524 to 776 of the family's 1533-position model. The record is from RNAcentral.